UCGCUUCAGCAGCGCAUAUACUACACCUGGAAUGAUGCAGAGAUUAGCAUGGCCCCUGCUUAAGAACUACAUGCAAAUUCAUGAAGCAGUCCAUAUUUUU
This 100-nucleotide small nuclear RNA is filed under the name Moschus moschiferus (Siberian musk deer). Lineage: Eukaryota; Metazoa; Chordata; Mammalia; Artiodactyla; Moschidae. The record is from RNAcentral.